GACGAACGCUGGCGGCGUGCUUAACACAUGCAGGUCGAACGGAAAGGCCCUGCUUGCAGGGUACUCGAGUGGCGAACGGGUGAGUAACACGUGGGUGCUCUGCCCUGCACUUCGUGAUAAGCCUGGGCAACUGGGUCUAAUACCGGAUAGGAGCCACGUUUAGUGUGAUGGUUGGAAAGAUUUUUCGGUGUAGGAUGAGCUUGCGGGCUAUCGGCUUGUUGGUGGGGUAAUGGCCUACCAAGGCGGCGACGGGUAGCCGGCCUGAGAGGGUGGACGGCCACAUUGGGACCGAGAGGCGGCCCAGACGCCGAAUGGUGGAAGAUGGGGGGAAGAUUGAUCCAGGGGCGCCGGGCUGGUGCAGCGACGCCGCGGGUGGGAAGACGGCCUUGGGGUGGUAGAGAAGCUGCGCGAGGGACGAAGCCUUUUGUGACGGUACCUAGAGAAGAAGCACCGGCUAACUUCGUG
RNAcentral lists this ribosomal RNA (465 nucleotides) under uncultured bacterium. RNAcentral describes it as "partial 16S ribosomal RNA". It matches the Rfam family "Bacterial small subunit ribosomal RNA", at positions 28 to 507 of the family's 1533-position model. The record is from RNAcentral.